RNAcentral lists this ribosomal RNA (254 nucleotides) under uncultured bacterium. RNAcentral describes it as "partial 16S ribosomal RNA". It matches the Rfam family "Bacterial small subunit ribosomal RNA", at positions 524 to 776 of the family's 1533-position model. The record is from RNAcentral.
CACGUAGGGGGCAAGCGUUGUCCGGAUUUAUUGGGCGUAAAGAGCUCGUAGGUGGUUCGGUAAGUCGGGUGUUAAACCCCCAGGCUCAACCUGGGGACGCCACUCGAUACUGCUGUGACUAGAGUCCGGUAGGGGAGCGUGGAAUUCCUGGUGUAGCGGUGAAAUGCGCAGAUAUCGGGAGGAACACCGGUGGCGAAGGCGGUUCUCUGGGCCUUACCUGACGCUGAGGAGCGAAAGCGUGGGGAGCGAACAGG